UCAAAUUUGAAAUCUGGCCCCUCCGGGUCCGAGUUGUAAUUUGUAGAGGAUGCUUUUGGUGAGGUGCCGCCCGAGUUCCCUGGAACGGGACGCCACAGAGGGUGAGAGCCCCGUCUGGCUGGCCACCGAGCCUCUGUAAAGCUCCUUCGACGAGUCGAGUAGUUUGGGAAUGCUGCUCAAAAUGGGAGGUAUAUGUCUUCUAAAGCUAAAUAUUGGCCAGAGACCGAUAGCGCACAAGUAGAGUGAUCGAAAGAUGAAAAGCACCUUGAAAAGAGGGUUAAACAGUACGUGAAAUUGUUGAAAGGGAAGCGCUUGUGACCAGACUUGGGCGCGGCGGAUCAUCCGGGGUUCUCUCCGGUGCACUUCGCCGCGUUCAGGCCAGCAUCAGUUCGUCGCGGGGGAAAAAGGCUUCGGGAACGUGGCUCCUCCGGGAGUGUUAUAGCCCGUUGCAUAAUACCCUGCGGUGGACUGAGGACCGCGCAUCUGCAAGGAUGCUGGCGUAAUGGUCACCAGCGACCCGUCUUGAAACACGGACCAAGGAGUCGUCUUCGUAUGCGAGUGUUCGGGUGUCAAANCCUACGCGUAAUGAAAGU
This 593-nucleotide ribosomal RNA is filed under the name Trichoderma pubescens. RNAcentral's name for it is "eukaryotic LSU rRNA". It matches the Rfam family "Eukaryotic large subunit ribosomal RNA", at positions 109 to 726 of the family's 3401-position model. Lineage: Eukaryota; Fungi; Ascomycota; Sordariomycetes; Hypocreales; Hypocreaceae. The record is from RNAcentral.